UAAACUAGGAUUAGAUACCCUAUUAUUUUUGAUCGUUAAUUUUGGUGCCUGAGUAGUAUUAGUUAUGUUCUUGAAACUUAAAGAAUUUGGCGGUAUCUUAUUCCAUUCAGAGGAAUCUGUCUCGUUAUCGAUAGUCCGCGUUGGACCUUACUUGGGAGUAUUAAGUGGUUUGUAUACCGCCGUUUAUUGAUUAUCUUUUUAGAGUCUGGUAAAUUUUCUGGUUUCUUUAUUUUGAUUUAUUUCAGGUCAAGGUGCAGCUUUUUCUAAGUGUAGGAUGGAUUACAUUGUUAUUUGUUGGAUUGUUUGGGUUUAAAUUAUUUGCAUGAAAUUGGAUUUGGUUGUAAUGUUUAUGUAGAUUGUUUUCAUGAUAAUAGGUUCUAAGAUAUGUACACAUCGCCCGUCGCUCUCGUUUAGUUAAUGAGAUAAGUCGUAACAUAGUA
This 440-nucleotide ribosomal RNA is filed under the name Acanthotermes acanthothorax. Its description in RNAcentral is "partial 12S ribosomal RNA". The record is from RNAcentral. Lineage: Eukaryota; Metazoa; Arthropoda; Insecta; Blattodea; Termitidae.